This 648-nucleotide unclassified non-coding RNA is filed under the name uncultured fungus. RNAcentral describes it as "sequence contains ITS1, 5.8S rRNA gene, ITS2". The stretch from base 220 to 374 matches the Rfam family "5.8S ribosomal RNA". The record is from RNAcentral. Lineage: Eukaryota; Fungi.
CUGCGGAGGAUCAUUACCGAAUUGUCAACACGAGUUGUUGCUGGUCCUCAAACGGGGGCAUGUGCACGCUCUGUUUACACAUCCACUCACACCUGUGCACCCUCCGUAGUUCUGUGGCCUGGGGGGCUCUGCUCCUCCUGCCGUGGUUCUAUGUAUUUACACACACACGCUGUAAUGAAGUCACAUGGAAUGUACAUCGCGUUUAACGCAAUACAAUACAACUUUCAGCAACGGAUCUCUUGGCUCUCGCAUCGAUGAAGAACGCAGCGAAAUGCGAUAAGUAAUGUGAAUUGCAGAAUUCAGUGAAUCAUCGAAUCUUUGAACGCACCUUGCGCCCUUUGGCUAUUCCGAAGGGCAUGCCUGUUUGAGUAUCAUGAACACCUCAACUCUCAUGGCUUGCCAUGAUGAGCUUGGACUUUGGGGGUCUUGCUGGCCUGUGUGGGUCGGCUCCUCUCAAAUGAAUCAGCUCGCCAGUGUUUGGUGGCGUCACAAGUGUGAUAAUUAUCUACGCUUGUGGUUUCCCACCAGGUAACCUUCAGUGAUGGAGGUUCGCUGGGGCUCAUAAACGUCUUUCCUCGUAAAGACAGCUCUCUGAACAUUUGAUCUCAAAUCAGGUAGGACUACCCGCUGAACUUAAGCAUAUCAAUA